ACCAGGGAGUGGAGAAAGGGGGAAAACCCUAGCUUGAUCAAUUAACAACAAAAUCCGUACGAUUAUGGAGGAUUCAUGUUACAAAUCGAAUGCUAGUGUCUAAAUACUCACUAAUCCAAGUGUUUUGAGCAUAAGGAUCGAAAGAAGAAGGAACUAGUUCCGGAUCACAAACAAAGGCACAAGAUCGAGUGAAGGAAGGAGUCCGUAUCGGUCCAUGUCGAAUGGGUCAGUUCGGGUUCGAGUGAGAAUGAAUUUAGGGGAAGUUUUCUCCAUGAUCCGUACUAAACGGGUUAAUGGAAGUGAAUGAGAAAUAGUUAUGCCAAAUCGACUAGAAUGAAUUGGGAAAAGAAAUAAGAAUGAUUGGUAAAGCACAAGUAUAAAGUCAUCGCGUCGCUCGGAUACGAACACACGUUGAUCACCCGUGAUGCGCUUCCGCAACUUUUGUAGUAACCUUAUUAGUUAAAAGCUCUUGUUAAACUUAGUGGUGUUGAAGUUUUGAACUUUAACUAGAUGUUUGUGAAUAUUUAAGUAUCUUAAACUUGAUGUUUUGAAACGGUAGUUUAAAUGUUAAGGUCCUUCUUAUGUUUU
Long non-coding RNA from Helianthus annuus (common sunflower), 588 nucleotides. RefSeq lists it as uncharacterized. NCBI's taxonomy places the organism in Eukaryota, Viridiplantae, Streptophyta, Magnoliopsida, Asterales, Asteraceae. The transcript has 4 exons. The record is from RefSeq and is a predicted model, not a curated record.